This 383-nucleotide unclassified non-coding RNA is filed under the name uncultured bacterium. RNAcentral describes it as "contains 16S-23S intergenic spacer region". The record is from RNAcentral.
UCCCCGUUAACCGGGGCAGUCCCCCUAGAGUUCCCGGCCUGACCCGUUGGCAACUAGGGGCGAGGGUUGCGCUCGUUGCGGGACUUAACCCAACAUCUCACGACACGAGCUGACGACAGCCAUGCAGCACCUGUGUCGGCUCCCCUUGCGGGGUCGGGCCCCUUUCAGGUUCCUACCACCGACAUGUCAAACCCAGGUAAGGUUUUUCGCGUUGCGUCGAAUUGAACCACAUGCUCCACCGCUUGUGCGGGUCCCCGUCAAAUCCUUUGAGUUUCAGCCUUGCGACCGUACUCCCCAGGCGGGGCACUUAAUGCGUUAGCUACGGCACGGAACCCAUGGAAUAGGUCCCACACCUAGCGCCCAACGUUUACGGUGUGGACUAA